This 497-nucleotide ribosomal RNA is filed under the name uncultured bacterium. RNAcentral's name for it is "partial 16S ribosomal RNA". It matches the Rfam family "Bacterial small subunit ribosomal RNA", at positions 28 to 506 of the family's 1533-position model. The record is from RNAcentral.
GAUGAACGCUGGCGGCGUGCCUAAUACAUGCAAGUCGAGCGAACAGACGAGGAGCUUGCUCCUCUGACGUUAGCGGCGGACGGGUGAGUAACACGUGGAUAACCUACCUAUAAGACGGGGAUAACUUCGGGAAACCGGAGCUAAUACCGGAUAAUAUAUUGAACCGCAUGGUUCAAUAGUGAAAGACGGUUUUGCUGUCACUUAUAGAUGGAUCCGCGCCGCAUUAGCUAGUUGGUAAGGUAACGGCCUGCCAAGGCGACGAUGCGUAGCCGGCCUGAGAGGAUGAUCAGGCACACUUGAACUGAGGCACGGUCCAGACUCCUAAGGGAGGGAACAGUGGGGAAUUCUGGCCAAUGGGGGGAAACCUGGUCGAGGCAUAGCGGGGGGGUGGAGGAAGGUUUUCGGUUGGUAAACCCUUUUGAUGGGGAAGGAACAAAGGUGUAAGUAACCAUGCAGGUCUGACCGGAACCAAAGCAGAAGGCCACGCCUACUUCCUU